Dipodomys spectabilis (banner-tailed kangaroo rat) is the source of this 170-nucleotide long non-coding RNA. RefSeq lists it as uncharacterized. NCBI's taxonomy places the organism in Eukaryota, Metazoa, Chordata, Mammalia, Rodentia, Heteromyidae. The transcript has 3 exons. The record is from RefSeq and is a predicted model, not a curated record.
UCACUGGGCUGUGUGGGAUUUUUGUUUGCCACUGCUGUCAGAGCAGUGAUUUUGUAUGUACGAUAGGAAGCAGGGAUGCUUUCAAUGGGAAGACGUGCAACACAGCAAGGGGAACUCCACGGAUUUUUUUUUCUACUUCAGCAAUGGAACUGCAACUUGGAGCUUUUGUG